Long non-coding RNA from Limanda limanda (common dab), 1317 nucleotides. RefSeq lists it as uncharacterized. The record is from RefSeq and is a predicted model, not a curated record. The transcript has 3 exons. Lineage: Eukaryota; Metazoa; Chordata; Actinopteri; Pleuronectiformes; Pleuronectidae.
UCAUCAUCAUCAUCAUCAUCAUCAUCAUCAUCAUUACUACGCCCCUGUCAGUUUCUGUAAACCACCAGUCAAUUCCCGUAAAUCCUGAUUCCUAUUUCAGUUUCCUUCUGAGAGGCACCGGGGGAAUUAUUCACACGGAAUUCCCCCUUUGUUUGGUGAAAGCCACUAAACCAACCUGCGGUAGAUCAGCAGCCAGCCAGUCAGUCAGUGUGCGGAGGAGACGGCAGAGGGACGGAUGCACGCGUGCUCGGCUCCGGGUCGUUGAAGAAGAUGUGUUGGAGUUGGUCCACAUACAGACUGUUACCACACUGACACGCCCCCACUGACUGCUACAGAGUGCAAUGUCCAAAUUACACCAAAUUCAACACUGCACUUCGCUGGGCCAUAAACGACAUUGCAGUCUUGGAAUCUGCAGUAAUUGAAGACAUUCAUCAGAUUAUGACAGCGUCGAAGGGAAGCUUUGCAUCGUGGGACUUGGAACGUGACCAGGUUAAACAUGAAAGCAAUCAAACAUAUGAUUUACAGCAAGAUCCCUUUCCUUUCUCCUACAGUAUGCUCUGAUUCACUUAUAAACUAUUUGUGAGGUGCACUGAUAACAUCUGCCAUGUUUUUCGGAUUUAAAUGGAUUAAUAUCUUGAAGAAUUCUGAGAUAAUAAUCCUGUUAAUUCUGAAAAAUGUGAAUGUGAUACACUUAUAUAAAAGUUAAAUUUCCGCCAAUAUUAUAUCGGGUAAUAGGAUCUUGUUGUGUUGCUGAAGGAGCUGAUGAUGAUAAAGGAUCUUUCAAAAUGCUGGGAGGGAAUUGUUUGAGGGGGGGUUGGAGGAUUUCAGUAAUGAAAAAAGACUCCUUUGCAAAUGAAUAGGCCGGAUCACAUUCCAAACAGAUCAUGUGCCUUUCAUAUUUUCAGAAAACAGAUUUCUUUGGUGAGUUGGACAGCUCUGUGUGUUGUGUUGUCCUGUGGUGGGCUUCAAAGGACUAAAAUGAUCACACCAGUGCUUUGUCUUAUAGUUUUACCUCAUUUUCUGCAGAGCACAUAUACUGCACUUACUAUAACUUGCUGACCACCAUAAAUCAGGGAAGGCAGUGACUGGUUUGGCUUCACUUCAUUACAAUAUGAAACUUACACCUGUUACCUUAUAAUGAUCCGAUCGGCCUUUAUGUGUAGUUAUUGCAUAUUUAUUUUAAGAUGACCACCAACCAUAUCGAAUUCAUUCUGUUAAUCCAAACGGUCUGAACCUGAAGACAUUGACUGACUGUAACAAUCUCAUUGCAUCUAUUGUUACUAUUGUCUUUAAUAAAGAAAAGUUCAUUAUCGCCAA